Molecule: ribosomal RNA, 464 nt
Filed under: uncultured bacterium
Lineage: Bacteria
Description: partial 16S ribosomal RNA
Rfam family: Bacterial small subunit ribosomal RNA
Source: RNAcentral
CUACGGGCUGCUGCAGUGAGGAAUUUUGCGCAAUGGGGGAAACCCUGACGCAGCAACGCCGCGUGAGUGAAGAAGGCCUUUGGGUCGUAAAGCUCUGUCAACAGGGAAGAAGUUACAGGUGUUUAAUAGAUAUCUGUAUUGACGGUACCUGUGGAGGAAGCGCCGGCUAACUCCGUGCCAGCAGCCGCGGUAACACGGGGGGCGCAAGCGUUAUUCGGAAUUAUUGGGCGUAAAGGGCGCGCAGGCGGUCUUGUCCGUCAGGUGUGAAAGCUCGGGGCUCAACCCCGGAAGUGCACUUGAACAGAAAGACUUGAAUACGGGAGAGGAAAGCGGAAUUCCUGGUGUAGAGGUGAAAUUCGUAGAUAUCAGGAGGAACACCGAUGGCGAAGGCAGCUUUCUGGACCGAUAUUGACGCUGAGGCGCGAAGGCGUGGGGAGCGAACGGGAUUAGAUACCCUCGUAGUC